GGGCUUGACAUCCCACGAACCUGCCCGAAAAGGUGGGGUGCCCGCAAGGGAGCGUGGAGACAGGUGGUGCAUGGCUGUCGUCAGCUCGUGUCGUGAGAUGUUGGGUUAAGUCCCGCAACGAGCGCAACCCUCACCCCUAGUUGCCACCGGGUUAAGCCGAGCACUCAAGGGGAACUGCCAGCGUCAAGCUGGAGGAAGGCGGGGAUGACGUAAAGUCAUCAUGCCCCUUACGCCCUGGGCUACACACGUGCUACAAUGGCCAGUACAAAGGGACGCGAGACCGCGAAGUGGAGCUAAUCCCAAAAAGCUGGUCUAAGUUCAGAUUGCAGUCUGCAACUCGACUGCAUGAAGGAGGAAUCGCUAGUAAUCGCGUAUCAGCCCGGCGCGGUGAAUACGUUCCCGGGCCUUGUACACACCGCCCGUCACACCACGAAAGCUGUCUGUACUCGAAGUCGCUGAG
This 460-nucleotide ribosomal RNA is filed under the name uncultured Methylomirabilota bacterium. RNAcentral's name for it is "bacterial SSU rRNA". It matches the Rfam family "Bacterial small subunit ribosomal RNA", at positions 977 to 1434 of the family's 1533-position model. The record is from RNAcentral. Lineage: Bacteria; Methylomirabilota (SeqCode).